RNAcentral lists this ribosomal RNA (484 nucleotides) under uncultured bacterium. RNAcentral describes it as "partial 16S ribosomal RNA". It matches the Rfam family "Bacterial small subunit ribosomal RNA", at positions 30 to 507 of the family's 1533-position model. The record is from RNAcentral.
AUUGAACGCUGGCGGCAGGCCUAACACAUGCAAGUCGAGCGGAUGAAGGGAGCUUGCUCCUGGAUUCAGCGGCGGACGGGUGAGUAAUGCCUAGGAAUCUGCCUGGUAGUGGGGGAUAACGUCCGGAAACGGGCGCUAAUACCGCAUACGUCCUGAGGGAGAAAGUGGGGGAUCUUCGGACCUCACGCUAUCAGAUGAGCCUAGGUCGGAUUAGCUAGUUGGUGGGGUAAAGGCCUACCAAGGCGACGAUCCGUAACUGGUCUGAGAGGAUGAUCAGUCACACUGGAACGGAGACACGGUCCAGACUCCUACGGGAGGCAGCAGUGGGGAAUAUUGGACAGUGGGCGAAAGCCUGAUCCAGCCAUGCCGCGUGUGUGAAGAAGGUCUUCGGAUUGUAAAGCACUUUAAGUUGGGAGGAAGGGCAGUAAGUUAAUACCUUGCUGUUUUGACGUUACCAACAGAAUAAGCACCGGCUAACUUCGUG